Molecule: unclassified non-coding RNA, 452 nt
Filed under: Human mastadenovirus C
Lineage: Varidnaviria; Bamfordvirae; Preplasmiviricota; Pharingeaviricetes; Rowavirales; Adenoviridae
Source: RNAcentral
CCNNCCCUUNUCNCCGUNGGNNUUGGUNGGAUAAAUUCGCAAGGGUAUCAUGGCGGACGACCGGGGUUCGAACCCCGGAUCCGGCCGUCCGCCGUGAUCCAUGCGGUUACCGCCCGCGUGUCGAACCCAGGUGUGCGACGUCAGACAACGGGGGAGCGCUCCUUUUGGCUUCCUUCCAGGCGCGGCGGCUGCUGCGCUAGCUUUUUUGGCCACUGGCCGCGCGCGGCGUAAGCGGUUAGGCUGGAAAGCGAAAGCAUUAAGUGGCUCGCUCCCUGUAGCCGGAGGGUUAUUUUCCAAGGGUUGAGUCGCGGGACCCCCGGUUCGAGUCUCGGGCCGGCCGGACUGCGGCGAACGGGGGUUUGCCUCCCCGUCAUGCAAGACCCCGCUUGCAAAUUCCUCCGGAAACAGGGACGAGCCCCUUUUUUGCUUUUCCCAGAUGCAUCCCGUGCUGC